CCCAAGUAGCUGGGACUAUAGGGUCGCACCACCACACCUGGUUGCAACGCUGGCCCUGGGACUUCAGGCACAUGACCCCACUCAGAAGAAACAAGACUGUGUGCCCAGCUCCCACAGCAGUCAAAUCCCUGCAGUGGGCUGCUCAUUCUACAUCACUCCUAGUGGUUCUGCUUCCUUAAACCCCAGCCAAACAAUGUGUCAUAAAGGUGAGACGUGGAAACAGGGAAGUUAUUGCCAUGAUUGCAUUUUACAUUUCAGACGUGGCCUCGCUGACCUCACUGGCAUCUGGGCUGGGGUACAAAGGUCCCAGCUUGGCCAGGCUGAUGUCUGCAAACCCCAGCCCUGACUGGCAGAUGGGCCAUGCCUCUGACCAUCUCUCCUGCCCACUGGACCACUUUAACGUACUCUUUCCAUCUCAAGCACAGGAACAAUUCCCUUCUGGAAUGUUCCUCCUUCUGAGGCUUUGAGAAGGCUCACUCUGGGGAGCGGAUGGGCUGGGUUGGCCUCCUCUGCAUCUGCAUUCCCGUGGGAACCAGCUGCACUACUUCCAGAAACGCCCUGCCCCAGUGGGUCCUUGGUGCUGGGCCCACCUUCCAGUAGGUUUCAAGAACUGUGUGCCCAUAAAUAAAUCCUCCAAAGAGAUGCCAAUCAGCAGGUACCACCAAAUUGUCCCUGGAAGUGACUUUUCUGUAGGAAUCCAUUAUUUCUGAAUUGAAUGGAGGGAAUCUCUGAUCUCCUU
Molecule: long non-coding RNA, 739 nt
Filed under: Homo sapiens (human)
Lineage: Eukaryota; Metazoa; Chordata; Mammalia; Primates; Hominidae
Description: HSALNT0394582
Source: RNAcentral